UAAGGUUAAGUUAAUAAGGGCGCACGGUGGAUGCCUUGGCACUAGAAGCCGAAGAAGGACGUGACUAACGACGAAAUGCUUUGGGGAGCUGUAAGUAAGCGCUGAUCCAGAGAUGUCCGAAUGGGGGAACCCACUAGUUAAUGACUAGUAUCCAUAUCUGUUAAGGAUAUGAGAAGGAAGACGCAGUGAACUGAAACAUCUAAGUAGCUGCAGGAAGAGAAAGCAAAAGCGAUUGCCUUAGUAGCGGCGAGCGAAACGGCAGGAGGGCAAACCGAAGUGUUUACACUUCGGGGUUGUAGGACUGCGAUAUAGGAUUAAUCAUUAUAGAAGAAUUACCUGGGAAGGUAAGCCAAAGAGAGUAACAGCCUCGUAUUUAAAAUGAUAGAUUAACCUUAGCAGUAUCCUGAGUACGGCGAGACACGCGAAAUCUCGUCGGAAUCUGGGAGGACCAUCUCCCAACCCUAAAUACUCUCUAGUGACCGAUAGUGAACCAGUACCGUGAGGGAAAGGUGAAAAGCACCCCGGGAGGGGAGUGAAAUAGAACCUGAAACCGUGUGCCUACAACAAGUUCGAGCCCGUUAAUGGGUGAGAGCGUGCCUUUUGUAGAAUGAACCGGCGAGUUACGAUAUGAUGCGAGGUUAAGUUGAAGAGACGGAGCCGUAGGGAAACCGAGUCUUAAUAGGGCGCCAUAGUAUCAUGUUGUAGACCCGAAACCAUGUGACCUACCCAUGAGCAGGUUGAAGGUGAGGUAAAACUCACUGGAGGACCGAACCAGGGCACGUUGAAAAGUGCUUGGAUGACUUGUGGGUAGCGGAGAAAUUCCAAACGAACUUGGAGAUAGCUGGUUCUCUCCGAAAUAGCUUUAGGGCUAGCGUCGAUGUUAAGUCUCUUGGAGGUAGAGCACUGUUUGGGUGAGGGGUCCAUCCCGGAUUACCAAUCUCAGAUAAACUCCGAAUGCCAACGAGAUAUAAUCGGCAGUCAGACUGCGAGUGCUAAGAUCCGUAGUCGAAAGGGAAACAGCCCAGACCACCAGCUAAGGUCCCAAAAUAUAUGUUAAGUGGAAAAGGAUGUGGGGUUGCACAGACAACUAGGAUGUUAGCUUAGAAGCAGCUAUUCAUUCAAAGAGUGCGUAAUAGCUCACUAGUCGAGUGACCCUGCGCCGAAAAUGUACCGGGGCUAAAACAUAUUACCGAAGCUGUGGAUGACACAAAAGUGUCAUGGUAGGAGAGCGUUCUAUGUGUGAAGAAGGUGUACCGUGAGGAGCGCUGGAACGCAUAGAAGUGAGAAUGCCGGUAUGAGUAGCGCAAGACAGGUGAGAAUCCUGUCCACCGUAAGACUAAGGUUUCCAGGGGAAGGCUCGUCCGCCCUGGGUUAGUCGGGACCUAAGGAGAGACCGAAAGGUGUAUCCGAUGGACAACAGGUUGAUAUUCCUGUACUAGAGUAUAUAGUGAUGGAGGGACGCAGUAGGCUAACUAAACCAGACGAUUGGAAGUGUCUGGUCAAACAGUGAGGUGUGAUAUGAGUCAAAUGC
This 1531-nucleotide ribosomal RNA is filed under the name Streptococcus agalactiae LMG 15085. Its description in RNAcentral is "bacterial LSU rRNA". It matches the Rfam family "Bacterial large subunit ribosomal RNA", at positions 1 to 1543 of the family's 2925-position model. Lineage: Bacteria; Bacillati; Bacillota; Bacilli; Lactobacillales; Streptococcaceae. The record is from RNAcentral.